Molecule: RNA transcript, 1070 nt
Organism: Canis lupus familiaris (dog)
Lineage: Eukaryota; Metazoa; Chordata; Mammalia; Carnivora; Canidae
Gene: MRPL51
Gene name: mitochondrial ribosomal protein L51
Exons: 3
Source: RefSeq, a predicted model, not a curated record
CCAAUCACAUGCCGGAAGCCGCCGGAAGGGCGGGGCCUAGACCCAGUACCCGCCUCCUCGUCUCCCCGCCGCCUACUGCUGCGGCGCCCCUAGCUGGGAAGUGGUAGUGCCCUGGGCUAGGGACCCACUCGAGUCGCUCCCCCCACGUUCCCCAGUACUGGAGGCAAGUCCAAGCUGGGAGUUGGGAGGCUGAGGCUCUCAUCCACGUUCCGCCAUCUCCUCUGCUAUGUGACGUCCAGCAGGCCACUUCACUCUCUGAGCCUCAGAUUUCCUCCCCUGUAUAAAAGGGGGAAUAAGAGCAGCCUCAGCGCAAAACUGCUGUGAGGCACAGAAAAAAGGAGCUCGGGGUUCCAAGGUCCGCACCUUCAUCUUCCUCACAGUUGAGGGACGCCCCAGGAAAGGGUAUUCCUAGAAUGUUCCAUGUAAGGGUCACCCUCCCUCCUCCCAAAGUGGUUGAUCGUUGGAACGAGAAGAGGGCCAUGUUUGGGGUGUAUGACAACAUCGGGAUCCUGGGAGACUUUAAAAUGCACCCCAAAGAACUGAUCAAGGGCCCCAGAUGGCUUCGAGGCUGGAAGGGGAAUGAAUUACAACGUUGUAUCCGAAAGAAGAAAAUGGUUGGAAAUAGAAUGUUCCUUGAUGAUCUGCACAAACUUAACAAACGCAUCAGCUACCUCUAUAAACACUUUAAUCGACAUGGAAAGUACCGGUAAAAGAGAAAGCUGGAAACUAGAAGAGGCACAUCUGUCACGCCGGAGAAGGGGAACAGUACUUUUCCUUAUAAGGGAAGGAAUUUGUAUGCUCCCUGUAAUAAAAUGGGGCUUCUUUGGAAUCUGUUAGCCACAAACUUUAUUUUACUCUAGAUGCUGCUUUUGUUCAUUCCUGUAGGCUAUGAAAGUCUGACUCAUCCAUAAGUCCUAUAGUCUUAGGUUUGGACUUAACCACUUGCCCUUUAAGAAAAAAAAAAUUAUUUUUGGCACUUUUUGUUAUUUAGGCCUUCAUGUAUUGAAAGUGGUCAUUUUUAAUUACCUCGUAAUUCUGUUAUGUUAAAUAUAUUUUUCAAAACACCUUCA